AUUAGCAGUUGGUGAGGCAUGGCUCACCAAGGCUACGAUGGGUAGGGGUUCUUAGUGGAAGAUCCCCCACACUGGCACUGAGAUACGGGCCAGACUCCUACGGGAGGCAGCAGUAGGGAAUAUUGGUCAAUGGGCGAAAGCCUGAACCAGCCAUGCCGCGUGCAGGAUGACAGCUCUCUGAGUUGUAAACUGCUUUUGUACAGGAGCAAAACAAUCCCUGCGGGGGUUCUUGAGAGUACUGUAAGAAUAAGCACCGGCUAAUUCCGUGCCAGCAGCCGCGGUAAUACGGAAGGUGCAAGCGUUAUCCGGUUUUAUUGGGUUUAAAGGGUGCGUAGGCGGCUUAUUAAGUCAGUUGUGAAAUCCUAGUGCUUAACGCUAGAACUGCAAUUGAUACUAUUAGGCUUGAGUUAAGAAUAGGUA
This 420-nucleotide ribosomal RNA is filed under the name Cardinium endosymbiont of Bemisia tabaci. RNAcentral's name for it is "bacterial SSU rRNA". It matches the Rfam family "Bacterial small subunit ribosomal RNA", at positions 240 to 659 of the family's 1533-position model. The record is from RNAcentral. Lineage: Bacteria; Pseudomonadati; Bacteroidota; Cytophagia; Cytophagales; Amoebophilaceae.